GCGGUAAUUGCAACACAUUUUACGCCCCUGCUAGGGGAGUAGGCCGGGAAACCGGCGCGAGGGUUCAAAUCCCUCCUUCCGCG
This 83-nucleotide transfer RNA is filed under the name Caudoviricetes sp. Its description in RNAcentral is "tRNA-Ser". The record is from RNAcentral. Lineage: Duplodnaviria; Heunggongvirae; Uroviricota; Caudoviricetes.